ACGCUCGACACCUAUGGGAGGCAGCAGUGGGGAAUAUUGCACAAUGGGGGAAACCCUGAUGCAGCGACGCCGCGUGAGCGAAGAAGUAUUUCGGUAUGUAAAGCUCUAUCAGCAGGGAAGAAACUGACGGUACCUGACUAAGAAGCACCGGCUAAAUACGUGUCAGCAGCCGCGGUAAUCUGAGCGGGCUGGCAAGGC
This 198-nucleotide ribosomal RNA is filed under the name uncultured bacterium. RNAcentral describes it as "partial 16S ribosomal RNA". It matches the Rfam family "Bacterial small subunit ribosomal RNA", at positions 328 to 539 of the family's 1533-position model. The record is from RNAcentral.